GGAAUCUUGCGCAAUGGAGGAAACUCUGACGCAGCCACGCCGCGUGCCGGAAGACGGCCCUAUGGGUUGUAAACGGCUUUUGCAUGGGAAGAACGUACGCGAUUCGUCUUUUAGUUACGGUACCAUUUGACUAAGCACCGGCUAACUCCGUGCCAGCAGCCGCGGUAACACGGAGGGUGCAAGCGUUGUCCGGAAUCAUGGGGUGUAAAGGGUGCGUAGGUGGGAGCCUAAGUCUGUGGUGAAAUCUUGCCGCUUAACGGUAAAAUUGCCAUGGAUACUGGGUUUCUUGAGUACAGAAGAGGUCGGUGGAAUUCGUAGUGUAGCGGUGAAAUGCAUAGAUAUUACGAAGAACAUCAGUGGCGAAGGCGGCCGGCUGGACUGUAACUGACACUGAGGCACGAAAGCGUGGGGAGCG
RNAcentral lists this ribosomal RNA (415 nucleotides) under uncultured bacterium. Its description in RNAcentral is "bacterial SSU rRNA". It matches the Rfam family "Bacterial small subunit ribosomal RNA", at positions 358 to 770 of the family's 1533-position model. The record is from RNAcentral.